CAGGCAUGAGCCACUGUGUCUAGCCGAGUAUGUAACUUUCAAUUUUUUUCCUUAGUGUAAGUAAGAUCUUUGAGAUUUACCCUAGUUGUUGAGUGUAUCAAUAGCUCAUACCUUUUAAUUGCUGAGUAGUGCUCCAUGGUAUUGGUGUACAUAGCUUGUUUAAUUCUUUACCUAUUAAGAGACAUACUGGUUGUUUCCAGUUUUUGACUUAUUGAAAAAGCUGCUAUGAGCAAUCAUUUACUGUUUUUUGCAUGAAUAUAAGUUUUCAUUUCUCUGGUAUAAAUGCCCAAAAAUGCAAUGGCUGAACUGUACAUUUCAUUAAGAAGAAAUCCUGCUGAACUAUUUUCUGGUAUGUACUAUUUUAGAUUCCUACCAGCAGUGUCUGAGACAUCAGUUUCUUCAUAUGCUCAUCAGCAUUUGGUAUUGUCACUAUUUUUGUUCUAGGUGUUCUAAUAGUUGUGUAGUGAUAUCUUAUUGUGGUCUUAAUUUGCAUUUUUCUAAUGGCUACGUCAAUUAUCCUCCCCUGUGCUUAUUUCUUAUCAGUGUAACCUCCUCUGUGAAGUGUCUUUUCAUGUCUUUUGCUCAUUUUCUCAUUGGAUUUCUUAAAUUUGAGUUUUCAGACUUCUGUAUACAUUCUAGAUAUGAAGCCUUUGCCAGAUAUGUGGUCUGCAAAUGUUUUUCCUACUCUAUAGUUCAUCCUGUCUUCUUAACAGGGUCUAAUAUGAAGCAAAAGUUGUUAAUUUUCAAAAAAUAAAGAUCUUGGAGGUUUUUAAUAUCAAUAAUGUAGAACUACGUCACUCUUCUAAAUUAUUGCCUUGUAUUCAGUUGUAUGGAUGCAUAACAUUUAAUCAGUUCAUAAAUAAAGGGCUGAUUUAUUCUAAGUACUUUAUUUGUAUUUAAUAACUUACAAUUAAAAACAAUGCUGCAAUGACUAUCUGUGGAUAUUCAACUUUGUAUAUGUGUGCAAAUAUGUCCUUAGGAUAAAUUCCUGAAAGUGGUAUUGACUGGGUCAAACUGUGAGAGGAGAGAGAAAGAAAUCAACUAGAGAGAAAGAAAUCAACUAGGCAGAUAGUUAGGGCAAGAGUCCUCCCCAGAAUUCCCUUAUAACAAAAAGCAGCCUAAGAGGCCAUUUCUCUUUUAGGAAAGAGCAGCCUGAGUGAUCAAGCUGCAAACACAGAUAAGGAAGGCAAGUUCUAACACAGAACGGGGCCUCCUGUGUGACACACAUACAGUGGGCCCCAGUGAGCACAGUCCUUUCCCUUCUUGGAAAUACUCAGACAAGGAGGCUUGCACAGGGGGAGUGCCUGCAGCAGCACGGAUAAGAAGAGCUACCCUGGAUCAGGCACUUCCAAGUUGGAGGAUUCUGUCCCCUGCCUUCUUUACACAUGCUCAGUAGGAAGAGAUAAGCAACAGGGCAUUAACUCAGUGUAAGGAGCCCCCAGGUGCGCUAGAAAGGGAGGGGUGGGGACUGUCAGAAAUUCGGCACCUUAUGUAAAUAAAGCACCCCUCCCCACCAGCUUGUCUUCGUUUCACUGUGAAACGGCAACUCAUCUUUCUGGGACCCCUUUCUUCUUCUCCAGAGAACUUUCUUCCUUUCGCUUAUUAAACUUCUGCUCUAACCUCACCUUUGGAGUGUCCACAUCCUUGAUUUCCUCCUCUGUGAGACCAAGAACCAUGAGGGACACCUCAGACAACAAGGCUGGCUUCAAAAUGGUGUACCUAUUUUAGUUAGUCAUCAACUACAUCGCAACAGUUUACAUCUGCACUAGCAGGACAGGAGAAUGCCUCUUACUACAUUCUCAUUAGCAUUAUAUGUUAGGACAUUUAAAAAACAAACAACUUUGAAACCUGAGAGGUUAAAAAAAAUCUCAAGGUUUUCAAUCUUAUUUCUUUGAUUAUGAGUAAAGCAUAGAUUCAUAUGUAAGCCCCUCCUUCCACUGGUCAUGUAUUAUUUGUUCCUGUCAUUUGACUAUUGUUUUUAUUGACUCAUUGAUCAUUUUCUUACUGACAUUCUAAGAGCUUUCAAUGCUCUGCACCCUGGUUCAGCCCAUAGGUACCCGGCAGCCAAGCAUCAUCUUCACCUAAUACCACGGUGGUGGCCUGCAGGCUGGAAGUGGCCGGGCACUGCCUGCUCCUCGGCCUGCUUUUCCUUCUGCUGACCAUGGGCCCUGCCCUGAGCUGGAACAACCCUGUGGGAACAUUCACUGGAGUUCCACCGUAACAGCUCAGUUUUCACAUCUUCCUCCAAAGAAGGGGAAAUGCCACAAAGAGCUAAGAAGAAGUUACUACCAGUGUGAUGAGAAAGCCAUGAAGCACUGAAAUAUGGAAUAAGAAAAGGAGGGCCCAGCAGUCCAAAUUCAAGUCCAACCCAGCCCUGGGUCAACAACCUGCCAUCAAGGGCCCUGCCUAAAAGAUGGGACCAGGUUAGCCAGUAAGAGAAACGCCCAGCCUGGGGAAGUGGAAGGCAGUUUCUCCAGAAAAUAAACCACAGCAAUCAUGAAAUUAGAACUUUGGUAAAACAUGUUGCAGAAGAACCAGGAAACACAUUGCAAUUGAGCCUGCUGGGUGCUGCUGCAAGUUUGGGGGCGAUCAGCAGAAUCAAGUUCUUAUAGGGAUGAAGUCUGCAAAGCAGGAUGUUUCCCUAAUUUGAUUGCAAUGACUGAGGUGGAAAAUGGUCAUCCUAAGAAGCACAGCAACUAUUUCAAAACGCCAGAGGACCCUUUAAUGCUCUGCAAACAUGGUGAUCGGGUUACCUUUCAAUAAAGAUGAUCGGCCUCCACUCACCUACUGUACAACUAAAAUCACUGGACAUUUUACAGAAAAUAAACAUAAGACUGAAAGGUGGAAACCUGAGGAACAACAUGCUGGUAAGUUCUCUGAGUUUAUUUUUGCCUAAUAUAUUCCAAACUAUUGGAGCUGAAGAAGCUAGUAACCAGAAAUGCCAAUGGGGACAGACAAAAAGCCCCAACAAAAUCCUGCCUUUUCUUUAGCCAAAAGACAAAGAAAGGAGGAGCCUCACAAAGCAGAAAAUGCUUAGAAAAUAAACACUCUAGUUAAAAAACAUCAAAAAAACUAUGGCCCAACUCUUACCAAUGCCAGCAAAGACUGAAUGGGGACCUAAAAUGUCUACCCUUACCAGGAUAUAAUAAAGCCUCUCUCUCAACUCCUGCAAUGCUGGUGGAAACCACAUGGGCAACAUGAACUUCUCUUCUCACCAGGUAGUAACAAGCAGCCAAUCCUCUUCUGCCCUAGAUUUGUAUAGAGGAGGCCUAGUGAAAAGUCAGGGCUAUCACCAUCACCCCUAUCCCUUUCAGACAAGAAAGUAUCAGUAAAAGCCUAGUGGGAACCCAGAACUCUCAUCUGUGCCCAACAGUCACAAGGGACAUCCUUCUUCAGAUGUCAAUGGAUGCAGAGUAGAAAAUUUAAUUUCUACCUGUACCUGGCAGUAAUAAGGUGGCAGCCCUGAUUUCUCUUGCCAGAAUAGCAUUAGAGUAAGAUAGCUAAAAUAAAGGUUUAAAUAAGAUCUAGAGAUCCAGAGUUUUGUAAUAUACUACCUAAAAUAUCCAGGUUUCAAUUUUAAAAAUCACUUGGCAAACCAAGAUCUCAAGUGGAAUGCAAAAAGAUGAUCAAUACUUGCAAACACCAAAAUGACAGAGAUGUUCAGAAUUAUCUGACACAUUUUAAAGCAGCUAUAAAACAAAUGCUUCAAUGAGUAAUCAAAAACAUAAUUUAAAAAAUGAAAAAAUGUAUCAGCAAAAG
Long non-coding RNA from Sapajus apella (tufted capuchin), 3759 nucleotides. RefSeq lists it as uncharacterized. The transcript has 7 exons. The record is from RefSeq and is a predicted model, not a curated record. NCBI's taxonomy places the organism in Eukaryota, Metazoa, Chordata, Mammalia, Primates, Cebidae.